UCACUCCAGACACAGACUGAUAAACUAGAAAUUCUAUAUACUUCAAGAGAUACACAGAGAAAGUAUGGAAACAGGCCAGAGCCGUCCCGUGGCUCCAUCCUACUUGGGAUGGUCCAUCUUCAACACUUUGUGCUGUUGUUUGCCAUUAGGGAUUGCUGCAAUCGUCUGCUCUUGUAGGGCACAAAAUGCAAAUUCUGCUGGGGAAUCAGCCAUUGCUCAGGAUGCAUCGAGGACAGCCAAGAUCCUCAAUGUCAUCGGGCUUGUGUGCGGAAUAAUUUUGCUCAUCAUUUUCAUCGCUCUCAAAACCACUCAGAUGUAGCGCCAUUGAAAGUGUCAAUUCUUGCCAUUGGCAGCGUCGGCACUUCAGCAAGCUUUUGUCAUCUAACCCACAUGGACUUCCCUUCCCCCUACAUACAAAAUUAAGAGGAAACAGAUGUCUACAGUGUUUUUAAUGUAGAAACAUGCAUGCUUUUUGUAAGGAAAAAACGGUUUCCUGUUUUUAUGUAAUGGAAUGAUUAUCUUUUGUUGUUAUAAAAAAAAGUGCAACCUGAUUUUUUUUGUGAUCAGUGAUUAUGAGAUCUAAACAAAUCAGAAAUGUCAAAAAGUUCACUAUUUUUGUAGUUACUGGCCAAAAAUACUAUUAAGUAUUUCUUUUUGUCUCACAUGUCCAUUUACUUGGAAUCAUAGGAAAUGACCUGAUAUAAAAUGUAAAGAUACAUGUGUGAAAAAUUAUUAAAAUCCUGGGCUGAGAAA
Long non-coding RNA from Paralichthys olivaceus (Japanese flounder), 753 nucleotides. RefSeq lists it as uncharacterized. The record is from RefSeq and is a predicted model, not a curated record. Lineage: Eukaryota; Metazoa; Chordata; Actinopteri; Pleuronectiformes; Paralichthyidae.